AGCGAACGCUGGCGGCAGGCUUAACACAUGCAAGUCGAGCGGGCACUUUCGGGUGUCAGCGGCGGACGGGUGAGUAACGCGUGGGAACGUGCCCUCUGGUUCGGAAUAACUCAGGGAAACUUGAGCUAAUACCGGAUACGCCCUUUUGGGGAAAGGCUUGCUGCCGGAGGAUCGGCCCGCGUCUGAUUAGCUAGUUGGUGAGGUAACGGCUCACCAAGGCGACGAUCAGUAGCUGGUCUGAGAGGAUGAUCAGCCACACUGGGACUGAGACACGGCCCAGACUCCUACGGGAGGCAGCAGUGGGGAAUAUUGGACAAUGGGCGCAAGCCUGAUCCAGCCAUGCCGAGUGAGUGAUGAAGGCCUUAGGGUUGUAAAGCUCUUUUAUCCGGGACGAUAAUGACGGUACCGGAGGAAUAAGCCCCGGCUAACUUCGUG
Molecule: ribosomal RNA, 435 nt
Filed under: uncultured bacterium
Lineage: Bacteria
Description: partial 16S ribosomal RNA
Rfam family: Bacterial small subunit ribosomal RNA
Source: RNAcentral